UCCCUGGUGGUCCAGUGGCUAAGACUCUGUGCUUCCAAUACAGGGGCCUGGGGUUCGGUCCCUGGUCAGGGAA
Molecule: transfer RNA, 73 nt
Filed under: Ovis aries (sheep)
Lineage: Eukaryota; Metazoa; Chordata; Mammalia; Artiodactyla; Bovidae
Source: Rfam by way of RNAcentral